This 253-nucleotide ribosomal RNA is filed under the name uncultured bacterium. RNAcentral's name for it is "partial 16S ribosomal RNA". It matches the Rfam family "Bacterial small subunit ribosomal RNA", at positions 524 to 776 of the family's 1533-position model. The record is from RNAcentral.
UACAUGGGGUGCAAACGUUGCUCGGAAUUAUUGGGCGUAAAGCGCACGUAGGCGGUUCGUUAAGUCGGAUGUGAAAGCCCUCGGCUCAACUGAGGAAGUGCACCCGAAACUGGCGAGCUUGAGUACGAAAGAGGAUCGCGGAAUUCCCGGUGUAGAGGUGAAAUUCGUAGAUAUCGGGAGGAACACCGGUGGCGAAGGCGGCUAUCUGGCACACAACUGACGCUGAGGCGCGAAAGCGUGGGGAUCAAACAGG